Non-coding RNA from Hydrogenovibrio marinus, 119 nucleotides. Lineage: Bacteria; Pseudomonadati; Pseudomonadota; Gammaproteobacteria; Thiotrichales; Piscirickettsiaceae. The record is from Rfam.
UUUUGUUUCUGUCAUCGGUUAUGGAAACAAACUCUACGAUAAACCGAUUAUCAAAGGAUAAAAAUAUGUUAACAGCUCAAGAUAAAGCUGCUAUCGUUGCUGAAUAUGCGACUGGUGCA